GGGCAGUUAGCUCAGCGGUAGAGCAUCGCCUUCACACGGCGGGGGUCACAGGUUCAANNAUCUCGUUUACACCGAGAGGGUCGGGGGUUCGAAACCCUCACUGCCUACCA
This 110-nucleotide transfer RNA is filed under the name Rhodospirillaceae bacterium. RNAcentral describes it as "tRNA-Val". It matches the Rfam family "tRNA". From Rfam's summary of the family: Transfer RNA (tRNA) molecules are approximately 80 nucleotides in length. Their secondary structure includes four short double-helical elements and three loops (D, anti-codon, and T loops). The record is from RNAcentral. Lineage: Bacteria; Pseudomonadati; Pseudomonadota; Alphaproteobacteria; Rhodospirillales; Rhodospirillaceae.